This 63-nucleotide transfer RNA is filed under the name chicken gut metagenome. It matches the Rfam family "tRNA", at positions 6 to 65 of the family's 71-position model. Rfam says of the family: Transfer RNA (tRNA) molecules are approximately 80 nucleotides in length. Their secondary structure includes four short double-helical elements and three loops (D, anti-codon, and T loops). The record is from RNAcentral.
CGUAGCUCAGUCGGAUAGAGCGUUGGUCUCCGAAGCCAAAGGUCACGGGUUCGACUCCCGUCG